CCGGGGGGCUGGGCAGCCGCGUCGCUUCACCGCGCCGAGGAAAGUCCGGGCUCCACGAAACAUGGGUGGCGGGUAACGCCCGCCGGGCGGGAUCUGCGGAUCGAAGCUCAGGGAAAGUGCCACAGAAAGCAUACCGCCGAUGGCCGCAAGGCACAGGCAAGGUUGAAAGGGUGCGGUAAGAGCGCACCGCGUUGCCGGUAACGGUGAUGGCAGGGCAAACCCCACCCGGAGCAAGACCGAAUAGGGGUGGCGCGCCGAUGGCUCUGGCCAGAGGCAGGUCCGUUUCGGACCGUGAUCACCCGGGUUGGUCGCUGGAACACGGCGGCAACGCCGUGUCGAGAGGAAUGGUUGCCAUUGUGCGCCCUGUCCCUUGCGGGAUACAGGCGCGCGAUACAGAACCCGGCUUACAGGCCCCCCGGCAUG
Molecule: RNase P RNA, 423 nt
Filed under: Croceicoccus esteveae
Lineage: Bacteria; Pseudomonadati; Pseudomonadota; Alphaproteobacteria; Sphingomonadales; Erythrobacteraceae
Description: RNase P RNA component class A
Rfam family: Bacterial RNase P class A
About the family: Ribonuclease P (RNase P) is a ubiquitous endoribonuclease, found in archaea, bacteria and eukarya as well as chloroplasts and mitochondria. Its best characterised activity is the generation of mature 5'-ends of tRNAs by cleaving the 5'-leader elements of precursor-tRNAs.
Source: RNAcentral